Molecule: ribosomal RNA, 870 nt
Filed under: Gymnopilus bellulus
Lineage: Eukaryota; Fungi; Basidiomycota; Agaricomycetes; Agaricales; Galerinaceae
Description: eukaryotic LSU rRNA
Rfam family: Eukaryotic large subunit ribosomal RNA
Source: RNAcentral
UUCCCCUAGUAACUGCGAGUGAAGCGGGAAAAGCUCAAAUUUAAAAGCUGGCAGUCUUUGGCUGUCCGCGUUGUAAUCUAGAGAAGUGUUACCCGCGUUGGACCGUGUACAAGUCUCCUGGAAUGGAGCGUCAUAGAGGGUGACAAUCCCGUCUUUGACACGGACUACCAAGGCAUUGUGGUGCGCUCUCAAAGAGUCGAGUUGUUUGGGAAUGCAGCUCAAAAUGGGUGGUAAAUUCCAUCUAAAGCUAAAUAUUGGCGAGAGACCGAUAGCGAACAAGUACCGUGAGGGAAAGAUGAAAAGAACUUUGGAAAGAGAGUUAAACAGUACGUGAAAUUGCUGAAAGGGAAACGCUUGAAGUCAGUCGCGUUGUCCAGAGAUCAACCUUGCUUUUGCUGGGCGUACUCUCUGGUUGACGGGCCAACAUCAGUUUUGAUCACUGGAAAAGGGCAGAGGAAAUGUGGCAUCUUCGGAUGUGUUAUAGUCCUCUGUCGUAUACAGUGGCUGGGACUGAGGAACUCAGCACGCCGCAAGGCCGGGAUUUAUCCACGUUCGUGCUUAGGAUGUUGGCAUAAUGGCUUUAAUCGACCCGUCUUGAAACACGGACCAAGGAGUCUAACAUACCUGCGAGUGUUUGGGUGGAAAACCCGAGCGCGCAAUGAAAGUGAAAGUUGAGAUCCCUGUCGUGGGGAGCAUCGACGCCCGGACCAGACCUUUUGUGACGGAUCUGCGGUAGAGCAUGUAUGUUGGGACCCGAAAGAUGGUGAACUAUGCCUGAAUAGGGUGAAGCCAGAGGAAACUCUGGUGGAGGCUCGUAGCGAUUCUGACGUGCAAAUCGAUCGUCAAAUUUGGGUAUAGGGGCGAAAGACU